This 389-nucleotide ribosomal RNA is filed under the name uncultured bacterium. RNAcentral describes it as "bacterial SSU rRNA". It matches the Rfam family "Bacterial small subunit ribosomal RNA", at positions 30 to 424 of the family's 1533-position model. The record is from RNAcentral.
AUUGAACGCUGGCGGCAUGCCUUACACAUGCAAGUCGAACGGCAGCACGGGAGCAAUCCUGGUGGCGAGUGGCGAACGGGUGAGUAAUAUAUCGGAACGUGCCCAGUCGUGGGGAUAACGUAGCGAAAGCUACGCUAAUACCGCAUACGAUCUAUGGAUGAAAGCGGGGGAUCGCAAGACCUCGCGCGAUUGGAGCGGCCGAUAUCAGAUUAGGUAGUUGGUGAGGUAAAGGCUCACCAAGCCGACGAUCUGUAGCUGGUCUGAGAGGACGACCAGCCACACUGGGACUGAGACACGGCCCAGACUCCUACGGGAGGCAGCAGUGGGAAUUUUGGACAAUGGCGCAAGCCUGAUCCAGCAAUGCCGCGUGCAGGAUGAAGGCCUCGGUU